AGAACGAACGCUGGCGGCAUGCCUAACACAUGCAAGUCGAACGCUCUUGGGAUUUCGGUCUCAAGGGAGUGGCGCACGGGUGAGUAGCGCGUGGGAACCUGCCCUGUUGUGGGGGAUAACCGAGGGAAACUUCGGCUAAUACCGCAUGCGCCCCCGGGAGUGAUCCUGGGGGGAAAGAUUUAUCGCAGCAGGAGGGGCCCGCGUCGGAUUAGGUAGUUGGUGGGGUAACGGCCCACCAAGCCUGUGAUCCGUAGCUGGUCUGAGAGGAUGAUCAGCCACACUGGGACUGAGACACGGCCCAGACUCCUACGGGAGGCAGCAGUGGGGAAUAUUGGACAAUGGGCGCAAGCCUGAUCCAGCAAUGCCGCGUGAGUGAUGAAGGCCUUAGGGUUGUAAAGCUCUUUCGCCCGCGACGAUGAUGACGGUAGCGGGAGAAGAGCCCGGCUAACUCGCGCCAGCAGCCGCGGUAA
This 470-nucleotide ribosomal RNA is filed under the name uncultured bacterium. RNAcentral describes it as "SSU rRNA". It matches the Rfam family "Bacterial small subunit ribosomal RNA", at positions 26 to 523 of the family's 1533-position model. The record is from RNAcentral.